CUGAAACCGUGUGCUUACAAGUAGUCAGAGCCCGUUAAUGGGUGAUGGCGUGCCUUUUGUAGAAUGAACCGGCGAGUUACGAUUUGAUGCAAGGUUAAGCAGUAAAUGUGGAGCCGUAGCGAAAGCGAGUCUGAAUAGGGCGUUUAGUAUUUGGUCGUAGACCCGAAACCAGGUGAUCUACCCUUGGUCAGGUUGAAGUUCAGGUAACACUGAAUGGAGGACCGAACCGACUUACGUUGAAAAGUGAGCGGAUGAACUGAGGGUAGCGGAGAAAUUCCAAUCGAACCUGGAGAUAGCUGGUUCUCUCCGAAAUAGCUUUAGGGCUAGCCUCAAGUGAUGAUUAUUGGAGGUAGAGCACUGUUUGGACGAGGGGCCCCUCUCGGGUUACCGAAUUCAGACAAACUCCGAAUGCCAAUUAAUUUAACUUGGGAGUCAGAACAUGGGUGAUAAGGUCCGUGUUCGAAAGGGAAACAGCCCAGACCACCAGCUAAGGUCCCAAAAUAUAUGUUAAGUGGAAAAGGAUGUGGCGUUGCCCAGACAACUAGGAUGUUGGCUUAGAAGCAGCCAUCAUUUAAAGAGUGCGUAAUAGCUCACUAGUCGAGUGACACUGCGCCGAAAAUGUACCGGGGCUAAACAUAUUACCGAAGCUGUGGAUUGUCCUUUGGACAAUGGUAGGAGAGCGUUCUAAGGGCGUUGAAGCAUGAUCGUAAGGACAUGUGGAGCGCUUAGAAGUGAGAAUGCCGGUGUGAGUAGCGAA
Molecule: ribosomal RNA, 757 nt
Filed under: Staphylococcus aureus
Lineage: Bacteria; Bacillati; Bacillota; Bacilli; Caryophanales; Staphylococcaceae
Description: partial 23S ribosomal RNA
Rfam family: Bacterial large subunit ribosomal RNA
Source: RNAcentral